GCUUUCACUCCUACGGGAGGCAGCAGUGGGGAAUAUUGCACAAUGGGCGCAAGCCUGAUGCAGCCAUGCCGCGUGUAUGAAGAAGGCCUUCGGGUUGUAAAGUACUUUCAGCAGUGAGGAAGGUGGUAGUGUUAAUAGCACUAUCAUUUUGACGUUAGCUGCAGAAGAAGCACCGGCUAACUCCGUGCCAGCAGCCGCGGUAAUACGGAGGGUGCGAGCGUUAAUCGGAAUUACUGGGCGUAAAGCGCAUGCAGGUGGUUUGUUAAGUCAGAUGUGAAAGCCCGGGGCUCAACCUCGGAAUUGCAUUUGAAACUGGCAGACUAGAGUACUGUAGAGGGGGUAGAAUUUCAGGUGUAGCGGUGAAAAUGCGUAGAGAUCUGAAGGAAUACCGGUGGCGAAGGCGGCCCCCUGGACAGAUACUGACACUCAGAUGCGAAAGCGUGGGGAGCAAACAGGAUUAGAUACCCUGGUAG
Molecule: ribosomal RNA, 473 nt
Filed under: uncultured bacterium
Lineage: Bacteria
Description: bacterial SSU rRNA
Rfam family: Bacterial small subunit ribosomal RNA
Source: RNAcentral